UACGUAGGCAGCAAGCGUUGUUCGGAAUUACUGGGCGUAAAGAGUGUGUAGGCGGUGCUCUAAGUUCGGUGUGAAAUCUCCCGGCUUAACUGGGAGGGUGCGCCGGAAACUGGAGUGCUCGAGUGUGGGAGAGGAAAGCGGAAUUCCUGGUGUAGCGGUGAAAUGCGUAGAUAUCAGGAGGAACACCUGCGGUGUAGACGGCUUUCUGGACCAUUGCUGACGCUGAGACACGAAAGCGUGGGUAGCAAACAGG
RNAcentral lists this ribosomal RNA (253 nucleotides) under uncultured bacterium. RNAcentral's name for it is "partial 16S ribosomal RNA". It matches the Rfam family "Bacterial small subunit ribosomal RNA", at positions 524 to 776 of the family's 1533-position model. The record is from RNAcentral.